Molecule: ribosomal RNA, 325 nt
Filed under: uncultured eukaryote
Lineage: Eukaryota
Description: partial 18S ribosomal RNA
Rfam family: Eukaryotic small subunit ribosomal RNA
Source: RNAcentral
CCCCUAGAUGUUCUGGGCCGCACGCGCGCUACACUGAACAGUUCAACAAGUCUUAACCUUGGCCGAUAGGUCUGGGUAAUCUUUGAACGCUGUUCGUGAUUGGGAUAGACCUUUGCAAUUAUGGGUCUUCAACGAGGAAUUCCUAGUAAACGCAAGUCAUCAGCUUGCAUUGAUUACGUCCCUGCCCUUUGUACACACCGCCCGUCGCACCUACCGAUUGAAUGGUCCGGUGAAAUUCUCGGACGCGGACUAGCGAUGUUAAUUCGGAGCUUGACUGUGAAAGUUAAUUAAACCUUACCAUUUAGAGGAAGGUGAAGUCGUAACA